AGUGCCUAUAGCAGAGGUUAUCACCUGACCCCAUUCCGAACUCAGUAGUUAAGCCCUCUAGUGCCGACGAUAGCAGAGAUGUGAAAAUAGGGCGGUGCUUUUUU
RNAcentral lists this ribosomal RNA (104 nucleotides) under Mycoplasmopsis columbinasalis. Lineage: Bacteria; Bacillati; Mycoplasmatota; Mycoplasmoidales; Metamycoplasmataceae. The record is from RNAcentral.